GGGGAGACUGGAAUUCCUGGUGUAGCGGUGGAAUGCGCAGAUAUCAGGAGGAACACCGAUGGCGAAGGCAGGUCUCUGGGCCGCAACUGACGCUGAGGAGCGAAAGCAUGGGGAGCGAACAGGAUUAGAUACCCUGGUAGUCCAUGCCGUAAACGUUGGGCACUAGGUGUGGGGCUCAUUCCACGAGUUCCGUGCCGCAGCUAACGCAUUAAGUGCCCCGCCUGGGGAGUACGGCCGCAAGGCUAAAACUCAAAGGAAUUGACGGGGGCCCGCACAAGCGGCGGAGCAUGCGGAUUAAUUCGAUGCAACGCGAAGAACCUUACCAAGGCUUGACAUGCACCGGACGCUGCCAGAGAUGGUGGUUCCGCAAGGUCGGUGCACAGGUGGUGCAUGGUUGUCGUCAGCUCGUGUCGUGAGAUGUUGGGUUAAGUCCCGCAACGAGCGCAACCCUUGUCCUAUGUUGCCAGCGGGUUAUGCCGGGGACUCAUGGGAGACUGCCGGGGUCAACUCGGAGGAAGGCGGGGAUGACGUCAAAUCAUCAUGCCCCUUAUGUCUUGGGCUUCACGCAUGCUACAAUGGCCGGUACAGAGGGCUGCGAUACCGUAAGGUGGAGCGAAUCCCAAAAAGCCGGUCUCAGUUCGAAUUGGGGUCUGCAACUCGACCCCAUGAAGUCGGAGUCGCUAGUAAUCGCAGAUCAGCAACGCUGCGGUGAAUACGUUCCCGGGCCUUGUACACACCGCCCGUCAAGUCACGAAAGUUGGUAACACCCGAAGCUCAUGGCCACGAAGCUCUGGUACUAUCGGGCAGAGUGUACGAUACGAGACCAUUCACCCGCG
Molecule: ribosomal RNA, 836 nt
Filed under: Isoptericola sp. WS_22S
Lineage: Bacteria; Bacillati; Actinomycetota; Actinomycetes; Micrococcales; Promicromonosporaceae
Description: bacterial SSU rRNA
Rfam family: Bacterial small subunit ribosomal RNA
Source: RNAcentral